GACCUUGAAUAACUGAAAAUGUGGAAAGCCAAAUCAUGGACAAGGAGGAUCACGAUACUAUCUCUGCACUUUUGUAGUUCUUGCCAGGGGAGACUGUUGCUGGAACGAAGCAUUCGCUGACACCUGGGCCACUCUCGCUCAGCCAGGAGGUCACCCUGCUGGCUCGCCCUCAGGUGCGGAGAAAAUCAGUCACACUCUGCAUGGGAAGCCCAGGCUAAGAAUACGAUGGGGAAACAGAGGAUCUGGGAAGACAAGCAAUUUGCUCAAGAUUACUUCAUUGGCAGAAUUGGACUUUUGACAGAGCUCACCCUGCCUGACCCACCAGGACACAAGGGAGCAUCCUGAAGGGAUUUGAAAGUGACUUCAGAACCCUGGAGAGCAGGGCUGAGCCUGGCUGGAAAGGCAGGAGGGGUGGUAUGGGGGAGGGCCAGGUCCUCCUGGCAGAGCUCAACGCAGCCCUGCCCUGCUCUGGCCAGUGCUCAGCCCCUGCCAAGAGGAGGCGGGAUGGAUGCCCUCCCUCCAGGAGAGAGACGUCUGCAGAGUGAGCCACCCAUUGCCCACCUUCUACGUGACACAAUUGGCACACAGCACUGGGGAACUCUUGGGGACUAGUCUUUCAGAUGUCACCAGCCCACAGGCCCAGCAAUGCCUGGCCUCCAAGCAAUCCUGGGAUGUCUGUGUCUGUCGUCCAUAAAGCUCCCCUGCAGCUUAUCCUGCCCAACAGAAGUUCCCAUGGCUAAAGAGCUGGGCUGGGCUCUGUGACCUCCCUUUGUCUUGCCUCAGGCCACCCAGACAACAGGUGCUGAGCACCCACCUGCUAUUACUGUAGAGACAGCCAGGCAGGGCCUGGUGGAUUCCGCUGGGGCUGAGAAACUUCCAUGGGAUGCACACAGUUGUAGAGCCAGGUGGCCCUGAAUGAAACCCUGGUGCCUCCUCUCAUUAGCUGUGUGGCCCUGGGCAAGACAUGGUGUCUUGUUAAACAUCAUUGUUCAUGUUUGUAAAAAGGGAUUGAUCAUAUUUCCAUAGUUUUGGAGGAAUCAGAAAAUUUGUGUAUGGAUCCAUCCUGCUAUGGUUUGGAUGUUUUGCUCCUCCCGUGUUCACAGGCUGGAACCCCAGUGUGCCAGUGUUGAAGUGGUGGAACCUUGGAGGGGGACUAGUGGAGGGCAUUAGGUCAUGCGGCUCAACUCUCAUGGGUAGGCUAGGUGGAAUUUUCCCCUUUCCCCAUUCCUGUCCUGCUCCAGCAUAACAAGCAAAAAUGGCCCCUAAGGGGCAGAAUCUCUUCCUGAGGAGAACAACAGCUCUGAGGCCUAGAAUCUGUGACUUAAAGGAAGUGAUCCCUAGUCCUUCGCUGCAUGGACAGAGGGGGAUCUCUUUACGGUGUCUUUGACUCAAACACUUUCCUCACUCAUCCAGUCUCACCCCAAUCCGGAGAGCUCGAAGCCAGGUCCUGCGUCUUAACACCAGCUGGCUACAUGACCCCGGGUGAGAUGAACGGCCACUCUGGGCCUUGGCGUGCUCAUCUGUAAAAUGACAGUAGUUUAGAUGAGCUCUAAGAUUUGGUGAGCCUGUGUGUUGACGCUCAGCCUCUUAUUUUGUAACUGAAGAAAUGACAUUCAGAAACAAGCCGUUCUUUUAAGGUCACAUAGCUAACCACUGGCAGGGCCAUUACUGCAGCCCAGGUCUCUGACGUUGGCACAUUCCCCCCUUGUCUUAUGACCUCCUUGAAUUAGAAGCAUUGCUUCCUUGUGCUAAAGAGAGGAUGAAAAAUGGAAAGUGACGAGCCAUUGAGUGAGCCAGGCGAUGGCGAAAACCUUCUCUGUUAGUAAUAGCAGCACCCACGAUGAGACUCCAGUGAGCCAACUGCAGCUGACAGAAACAUGGGCCUAAUUGGCUCUUUCAAGACAGUGGAGAAUCUGAGGGUGACGGAUUGCACGCUGUUUAGUGGCGGGAUGCUGUGACAGAGGGCUGCAAAUGCCACUCCGGGGAUGUGUUAAUGAAGGCUCCGCAUGCACAACACGCGCAGCAAUUAUUCUGUUCUCCCUGGCACCAGCUCCUCCUGGCAGGAGAGCUGCCCGCGGGGCUGGAAGGAGUUCAGUAGAAAGUUCACUGAGAGCCAGAUGGAACAGGAACAGAACUUGCUGUUGGGAUCAGCCAUCACCAAAAACAUUCAAAAUGCGAGUCCGUCUGCCCUUCCGUAUCCCGGAGGACGUGAGGAGGUGGCAGGAGGAGGUGGAGCCUUCCAGUGGUGGACAGAGAUUCCGGCUGCUUCUGGCUUGCGUGGAAGAUGCCGACCCUGUUAGCUCCACGGGUCUGGGGCCACCUUCACCCCUGGCCUGGAGAUGGCAUCGAGAUGGGGUGCAGGGAGCCAUCCCGGGACAACACGCGGCUGGGCAGGCGACUCAGGAGGGGGAGGGAGGCAGUUUAGUUUGCAGUGGCAGUGCCCCGCCUCUUUCUCCCAGGAUGCCAUAGGGGAAAGACUCUUCUGGGCACCAGAAAGGACUUGUCUCCUUCCUCCUGCUUGGGGCCAGCCUGUCA
Heterocephalus glaber (naked mole-rat) is the source of this 2535-nucleotide non-coding RNA. NCBI's taxonomy places the organism in Eukaryota, Metazoa, Chordata, Mammalia, Rodentia, Bathyergidae. The record is from RefSeq and is a predicted model, not a curated record.